GAUGUGACAGUUUGGCAGUGCAUUGCUAGCUGGCUGUUGAGAACUUGAUAUAUGAACAGUUGCUAGCUGCACUCCACAUUGUUGCAUU
Molecule: microRNA precursor, 88 nt
Filed under: Chelydra serpentina (North American snapping turtle)
Lineage: Eukaryota; Metazoa; Chordata; Testudines; Chelydridae
Description: mir-449c
Rfam family: mir-449 microRNA precursor family
Source: RNAcentral